AGUGAAGCGGCAACAGCUCAAAUUUGAAAUCUGGCCCUUGGGUCCGAAUUGUAAUUUGUAGAGGAUGCUUUUGGUGCGGUGCCUUCCGAGUUCCCUGGAACGGGACGCCAUAGAGGGUGAGAGCCCCGUCUGGUUGGACACCAAUCCUCUGUAAAGCUCCUUCGACGAGUCGAGUAGUUUGGGAAUGCUGCUCUAAAUGGGAGGUAUAUGUCUUCUAAAGCUAAAUACCGGCCAGAGACCGAUAGCGCACAAGUAGAGUGAUCGAAAGAUGAAAAGCACUUUGAAAAGAGGGUUAAAUAGUACGUGAAAUUGUUGAAAGGGAAGCGCUUGUGACCAGACUUGAGCCCGGUUAAUCAUCCAGCCUUCUGGCUGGUGCACUUGGCCGGCUCAGGCCAGCAUCAGUUCGGCGCGGGGGAUAAAGGCUUCGGGAAUGUGGCUCCUCCGGGAGUGUUAUAGCCCGUUGUGUAAUACCCUGUACUGGACUGAGGUUCGCGCAUCUGCAAGGAUGCUGGCGUAAUGGUCAUCAGCGACCCGUCUUGAAACACGGACCAAGGAGUCGUCUUCGUAUGCGAGUGUUCGGGUGUCAAACCCCUACGCGUAAUGAAAGUGAACGCAGGUGAGAGCUUCGGCGCAUCAUCGACCGAUCCUGAUGUUCUCGGAUGGAUUUGAGUAAGAGCAUACGGAGCCGGACCCGAAAGAAGGUGAACUAUGCCUGUAUAGGGUGAAGCCAGAGGAAACUCUGGUGGAGGCUCGCAGCGGUUCUGACGUGCAAAUCGAUCGUCAAAUAU
This 788-nucleotide ribosomal RNA is filed under the name Pseudocosmospora sp. RNAcentral describes it as "partial large subunit ribosomal RNA". It matches the Rfam family "Eukaryotic large subunit ribosomal RNA", at positions 92 to 912 of the family's 3401-position model. The record is from RNAcentral. Lineage: Eukaryota; Fungi; Ascomycota; Sordariomycetes; Hypocreales; Nectriaceae.